UCAAAUGCUCUUAGCUUCAAUA
This 22-nucleotide non-coding RNA is filed under the name Arabidopsis thaliana (thale cress). Lineage: Eukaryota; Viridiplantae; Streptophyta; Magnoliopsida; Brassicales; Brassicaceae. The record is from RNAcentral.